CAAGUCGAACGGUAACAGGCCGCAAGGUGCUGACGAGUGGCGAACGGGUGAGUAAUGCAUCGGAACGUGCCCAGUCGUGGGGGAUAACGCAGCGAAAGCUGUGCUAAUACCGCAUACGAUCUAUGGAUGAAAGCGGGGGACCGUAAGGCCUCGCGCGAUUGGAGCGGCCGAUGUCAGAUUAGCUAGUUGGUGGGGUAAAGGCCCACCAAGGCGACGAUCUGUAGCUGGUCUGAGAGGACGACCAGCCACACUGGGACUGAGACACGGCCCAGACUCCUACGGGAGGCAGCAGUGGGGAAUUUUGGACAAUGGGCGCAAGCCUGAUCCAGCAAUGCCGCGUGCAGGAAGAAGGCCUUCGGGUUGUAAACUGCUUUUGUACGGAACGAAACGGUCUGGGUUAAUACCUCGGGCUAAUGACGGUACCGUAAGAAUAAGCACCGGCUAACUACGUGCCAGCAGCCGCGG
This 465-nucleotide ribosomal RNA is filed under the name uncultured bacterium. Its description in RNAcentral is "bacterial SSU rRNA". It matches the Rfam family "Bacterial small subunit ribosomal RNA", at positions 58 to 520 of the family's 1533-position model. The record is from RNAcentral.